CCUACGGGGGGCUGCAGUGGGGAAUUUUCCGCAAUGGGCGCAAGCCUGACGGAGCAAUACCGCGUGAGGGAGGAAGGCUCUUGGGUCGUAAACCUCUUUUGUCAGGGAAGAAGUUCUGACGGUACCUGACGAAUCAGCAUCGGCUAACUCCGUGCCAGCAGCCGCGGUAAUACGGAGGAUGCAAGCGUUAUCCGGAAUUAUUGGGCGUAAAGCGUCCGCAGGUGGUGAUACAAGUCUGCUGUCAAAGCAUGGAGCUUAACUCCAUAUCGGCAGUG
Molecule: ribosomal RNA, 275 nt
Filed under: uncultured bacterium
Lineage: Bacteria
Description: partial 16S ribosomal RNA
Rfam family: Bacterial small subunit ribosomal RNA
Source: RNAcentral